Molecule: long non-coding RNA, 1599 nt
Filed under: Pavo cristatus (Indian peafowl)
Lineage: Eukaryota; Metazoa; Chordata; Aves; Galliformes; Phasianidae
Description: lncRNA (ENSPSTG00000007369.1)
Source: RNAcentral
UUUCUUGGACUGCGGAGUUUCCACUCCUUUUUUGUUUGUUUGCUUGGUUGGUUUGUUUUCAUGCAGUGUCUUUUGUGAUCACAUUAUGUUUCAUGACACGUCACUGAAAUAUGAACAGUGAAGAUGGUGAUACUUAGAAGGAAUGUAGCAGUAGGAGUGUUCCAAUUUUGUUUUUAAGAUGAGGCCUUUCAUAAUGUUUUAGUGAACAUCAGUGCUUCAAGUCCAGAAGGGCAAGAGGAGAUGAGGUUAUAGAGCAAACAGCUGCACUGCUGCUCCUGGAGGGAGACGGGGGAGAGCUGUAGCUGCUAUAUGGAGACAGGUACCAUAGCACACAUUUUAUGCCAAGACAGCAAAGGUGUUGACAAGUCAAUGAAAGAAGUGUGAAAGCAGGCUGAACAGCUCUUGCAACUGCCACUGAAUGUCUAUGCAAACCUCCAGGAUUUUGGUCAGGUGUACAAUACAAGCAGGACGUGAGCAAGAUGAGUAUGGAAAAAAAACCACGGUCAGAGGAAAUGCACCCAGAUGAAGACUGGAAUCAAAGGAGCAGCAUUGUCGAUAAACCCUCUCAAGGGUGGCUGCACUUGAGUGAGAAGAUCCUGGGACCUGGUGUGACGUACACUGUGAAGGAAAAAAUGAUGACUAGCCAAGAUUUUUGAACCUCUGCAGUAGAAGACAUGAUUCCAGGGGAAUGUGACACCAAGCUUUCAGAUUUACAUCAGCGUCCUGCAAGGCACUGGUUAGAAUACGAAGUGUUGAUUAUGAUUCUAAAAUCUCUGAAUGGGGAGGCAUUCAUUCAUCUGAAAGAUGUCACCUUAGGGUGCAGUACCAUUCAGUGAAGGUAUACAAGCUGGAAUAUUCUCAUUCAAAAAUGAGAAACUAGACAGAAGGCAGAACAUUAUCUGAGAAAGCUUGGUACUCCCAAAUUUUCCUACUUCAGGAUGAGCUGCAUUUGGUGUUUUUGUUUAUUGAGCAAGAGAGGGAAGAUACUAGUGGGAUGCUAUCAUGAUGCACAGUAGCCAAUUGGUUAGAAUGUGCAUUAAGUGUUGGGUGAAGAGGAGCUUUUUUAGAAGUAGACUGUUUUAUAACUAUAUUUUAAAUGUUUCAUGGAAUGCCUAAAACAAAAGAUAGCAUUUCUUUUUAAACAGGAUAUAUAUUUGUUGAAAUAAAUGAAUAAUUUGUUUACUUGCUAUCUUGGUUGUAUGUCUCCUUUCUGUGGAUCCUUGUCAGGAUGUACUUCAAAUGGAUAUUUUUAGAGAACAGUAUUGGUCUUUGGGAAUAAUUGAAGCAUAGCAGUAGGUGAGUUAUAUGUCCCUGUAGUUGGCCUUUGGGCCUUUUGAAUGUCAGUUUUUAUAGUAAUUUCAUUACUUGAAAACAUGCUGUGGUGAUUAAGUGUUCACAUCUUUUAUCCAAGAAAAUCAAUUGCCAUCUUUGCCCUGAUCAGUCAGGAAAAUUGCAAGCCUUACUAUGUUGUGUUCAGAUGUCUCCAUGCUAUACAUAAAGCAAGUACAAGAUAAUUUUUCCAUCUGACUUUCCUUCAGUCUGGUUUUGUCUCUACUUUCAUUAAUGCAGAUCAGGUAGUAUGACUCAAAGGAGUCUAAC